This 460-nucleotide ribosomal RNA is filed under the name uncultured bacterium. RNAcentral's name for it is "partial 16S ribosomal RNA". It matches the Rfam family "Bacterial small subunit ribosomal RNA", at positions 338 to 795 of the family's 1533-position model. The record is from RNAcentral.
CCUACGGGUGGCAGCAGUAGGGAAUAUUGCUCAAUGGGGGAAACCCUGAAGCAGCAACGCCGCGUGGAGGUCAGUGCCCUAUGGGCGUUAAACUUCUUUUGUGCGGGAGCAAUAAUGGUCACGUGUGGCCAGACGAGAGUACCGUACGAAUAAGCAUCGGCUAACUCCGUGCCAGCAGCCGCGGUAAUACGGGGGAUGCAAGCGUUAUCCGGAUUUAUUGGGUUUAAAGGGUGCGUAGGCUGUGAGGUAAGUCAGCGGUGAAAUGCCCCCGCUCAACGGGGUGAAGUGCCAUUGAUACUGCCUUGCUGGAAUGCGGAUGCCGUGGGAGGAAUGUGUGGUGUAGCGGUGAAAUGCAUAGAUAUCACACAGAACACCGAUUGCGAAGGCAUCUCACGAAUCCGCGAUUGACGCUGAUGCACGAAAGCGUGGGUAUCAAACAGGAUUAGAUACCCGGGUAGUC